Molecule: long non-coding RNA, 462 nt
Filed under: Malus domestica (apple)
Lineage: Eukaryota; Viridiplantae; Streptophyta; Magnoliopsida; Rosales; Rosaceae
Description: long non-coding RNA (MDOM_LNC005467)
Source: RNAcentral
UUUUUUUUUUUUUUUUAAGAUUGUGGAGCAUUUUUCAAAAGUCCCACUCACUGUUUAAUGAAAUUUUUAAUUACAUGUUUGUCUAUUUGUAAAAUAAAUAAAGACCUUAAUAGAUAUAUAAUAAUAAUGUUGUAUUUUAUGCAGGUGUUUUUAAAUUUGAUUGAGGUCUCGAAAAAGUAUGUGAUGUAAAUUAAAAUGGAUCAAACCUAUGGAUCAAAUCCAUGGAUCAAACCUAUGUACCCCCGCCCCCCCCCCCCCCCCCGGGUACCAAACCUAUGGAUCACUGAAAAGGUUGAGGGGAUGAGACCAGUAAAAUGGAUACUUCUAGAAGGCAAGCGACUGAGCUCUUGUGUUGUCCCGUCGAAUCCAAUUGAAAUUUUUAUUUUAUUUUUAAUACGGAACAGUCAUGUAUUUCUUAUGUUAGAUGUAGCAGAUCAAAUUAUAUCACGAUCAUGCCCUUAG